Molecule: ribosomal RNA, 620 nt
Filed under: Enterococcus hirae
Lineage: Bacteria; Bacillati; Bacillota; Bacilli; Lactobacillales; Enterococcaceae
Description: partial 16S ribosomal RNA
Rfam family: Bacterial small subunit ribosomal RNA
Source: RNAcentral
UUUUAUGAGAGUUUGAUCCUGGCUCAGGACGAACGCUGGCGGCGUGCCUAAUACAUGCAAGUCGAACGCUUCUUUUUCCACCGGAGCUUGCUCCAUCGGAAAAAGAGGAGUGGCGAACGGGUGAGUAACACGUGGGUAACCUGCCCAUCAGAAGGGGAUAACACUUGGAAACAGGUGCUAAUACCGUAUAACAAUCGAAACCGCAUGGUUUUGAUUUGAAAGGCGCUUUCGGGUGUCGCUAAUGGAUGGACCCGCGGUGCAUUAGCUAGUUGGUGAGGUAACGGCUCACCAAGGCGACGAUGCAUAGCCGACCUGAGAGGGUGAUCGGCCACAUUGGGACUGAGACACGGCCCAAACUCCUACGGGAGGCAGCAGUAGGGAAUCUUCGGCAAUGGACGAAAGUCUGACCGAGCAACGCCGCGUGAGUGAAGAAGGUUUUCGGAUCGUAAAACUCUGUUGUUAGAGAAGAACAAGGAUGAGAGUAACUGUUCAUCCCUUGACGGUAUCUAACCAGAAAGCCACGGCUAACUACGUGCCAGCAGCCGCGGUAAUACGUAGGUGGCAAGCGUUGUCCGGAUUUAUUGGGCGUAAAGCGAGCGCAGGCGGUUUCUUAAGUCUGA